UGGCGAAGGCACCCUACGAGGACGAAUCUGACAGUGAGGGAAUGAAGGCCAGGGGCGCAAAACGGAUUAGAUACCCGUGUAGUCCUGGCAGUAAACACUGCUCACUAAACAUCGGUCUCUCUUCGGGAGAAAUCGGUGCUGAAGCGAAGGCGAAGAGUGAGCUACCUGGGAAGUAUAGUCGCAAGAUCGAAACUUAAAGGAAUUGGCGGGGAGGCACACAACGAGUGACGCGUGCGGUUCAAUUAGAUUCUACACCGUGAACCUCACCAGGAGCGACAGCAGAAUGAAGGUCAGUCUGAAGGGCUUACCUGACGCGCUGAGCGGAGAUGCAUGGCCAACAUCAGCCUGUGUCGUGAGAUGACCUGUUAAAUCAGGUAACAGGCGAGACCCGUGUAUAUAAUUACUCUCGAAAGAAGUACAUUAUGUAGACUGCCUUGGUAACAAGGAGGAAGGUACGGGCUAUGUUAGGUGAGUACAUCCCUAACCCCCCGGGCUACACGCGCGCGGCAAUGAUAAGUUCAAUGAGAUGCAACUCCGAAAGGAGAAGCUAAUCCCCUAACGCUUAUCUCAGUACAGAUUGAGGGUUGCAACCCACCCUCAUGACGCCGGAAUUCGAAGUAAUCGUUUGUUAGCAGCAAACGGUGAAAUGUCCUGCUUCUUGCACACACCGCCCGUCA
RNAcentral lists this ribosomal RNA (677 nucleotides) under uncultured euryarchaeote. Its description in RNAcentral is "bacterial SSU rRNA". It matches the Rfam family "Archaeal small subunit ribosomal RNA", at positions 664 to 1355 of the family's 1478-position model. Lineage: Archaea; Methanobacteriati; Methanobacteriota. The record is from RNAcentral.